This 100-nucleotide small nuclear RNA is filed under the name Sciurus vulgaris (Eurasian red squirrel). Lineage: Eukaryota; Metazoa; Chordata; Mammalia; Rodentia; Sciuridae. The record is from RNAcentral.
AUGCUUCAGCAACAUACGUACUAAAAAUUAGAAGGGUACAGAGAUUAGCCCGGCCCCUGUACAAGGAGGACACACAAAUCCUGCAGCGUUUCAUAUUUCU